RNAcentral lists this ribosomal RNA (794 nucleotides) under uncultured bacterium. RNAcentral's name for it is "bacterial SSU rRNA". It matches the Rfam family "Bacterial small subunit ribosomal RNA", at positions 8 to 795 of the family's 1533-position model. The record is from RNAcentral.
AGAGUUUGAUCCUGGCUCAGGAUGAACGCUAGCGGGAGGCUUAACACAUGCAAGUCGAGGGGCAGCACUAUGUAGCAAUACGUUGGUGGCGACCGGCGCACGGGUGAGUAACACGUAUGCAACCUACCCUGUACAGGGGGAUAACCCGGAGAAAUUCGGACUAAUAUCCCAUGAUGAUAUUUGGAGGCAUCUCUGGAUAUUUAAAGCUCAGGCGGUACGGGAUGGGCAUGCGCAACAUUAGCUAGUUGGCAGGGUAACGGCCUACCAAGGCUACGAUGUUUAGGGGACCUGAGAGGGUGAUCCCCCACACUGGUACUGAGACACGGACCAGACUCCUACGGGAGGCAGCAGUGAGGAAUAUUGGUCAAUGGGCGCAAGCCUGAACCAGCCAUCCCGCGUGCAGGAAGACGGCGCUAUGCGUUGUAAACUGCUUUUCCAGGGGGUGAAUUACCAUGACGUGUCGUGGUUUGACGGUACCCUGGGAAUAAGCAUCGGCUAACUCCGUGCCAGCAGCCGCGGUAAUACGGAGGAUGCGAGCGUUAUCCGGAUUUAUUGGGUUUAAAGGGUGCGUAGGCGGACGAAUAAGUCAGUGGUGAAAACCUGCAGCUUAACUGUAGACUUGCCGUUGAUACUGUUUGUCUUGAGUAUGGUCAAGGUAGGCGGAAUGUGUAAUGUAGCGGUGAAAUGCUUAGAUAUUACACAGAACACCGAUUGCGAAGGCAGCUUGCUGGGCCAUUACUGACGCUGAUGCACGAAAGCGUGGGGAUCGAACAGGAUUAGAUACCCUGGUAGUC